Molecule: ribosomal RNA, 253 nt
Filed under: uncultured bacterium
Lineage: Bacteria
Description: partial 16S ribosomal RNA
Rfam family: Bacterial small subunit ribosomal RNA
Source: RNAcentral
UACGUAGGGGGCUAGCGUUGUCCGGAAUCAUUGGGCGUAAAGAGCGUGUAGGCGGCCCGGUAAGUCCGCUGUAAAAGUCAAAGGCUCAACCUUUGAAUGUCAGUGGAUACUGCCGGGCUAGAGUCCGGAAGAGGCGAGUGGAACUCCUGGUGUAGCGGUGAAAUGCGCAGAUAUCGGGAAGAACACCCGUGGCGAAGGCGGCUCUCUGGGACGGUACUGACGCUGAGACGCGAAAGCGUGGGGAGCGAACAGG